Non-coding RNA from Nematocida parisii ERTm3, 73 nucleotides. The record is from Rfam. NCBI's taxonomy places the organism in Eukaryota, Fungi, Microsporidia.
GGUGGACUGGUCUAGUGGUUAUGAUUCUCGCUUAGGGUGCGGGAGGUGCCGGGUUCGAUUCCCGGGUUCGCCC